AUAGGAGUGAGAGUGGCGAACGGGUGAGUAACACGUGGGUAAUCUGCCUUACGGAUGGGGAUAACGGCCCGAAAGGGUCGCUAAUACCGAAUGCGUUCCAUGGGACGAUGGUUCUGUGGAAGAAAGAUGGGGAUCGCAAGACCUAUCACCGUAAGAUGAGCCUGCGGCCCAUUAGCUAGUUGGCGGGGUAACGGCCCACCAAGGCGACGAUGGGUAGCCGGCCUGAGAGGGUGUACGGCCACAUUGGGACUGAGAUACGGCCCAGACUCCUACGGGAGGCAGCAGUUAAGAAUCUUGGACAAUGGACGAAAGUCUGAUCCAGCGACGCCGCGUGAACGAUGAAGGUCUUCGGAUUGUAAAGUUCGGUAAGAUGGGACGAAAAAGCGCAAGGUAAUAUUUUGCGUAUUGACGGUACCAUCCUAAAGCCUCGGCUAAAUACGUGCCAGCAGCCGCGGUAAUACGUAUGAGGCAAGCGUUGUUCGGAAUUAUUGGGCGUAAAGGGCAUCUAGGCGGGAUGUUAAGUCAGGUGUGAAAGCCAAGGGCUCAACCCU
RNAcentral lists this ribosomal RNA (551 nucleotides) under uncultured bacterium. Its description in RNAcentral is "bacterial SSU rRNA". It matches the Rfam family "Bacterial small subunit ribosomal RNA", at positions 83 to 616 of the family's 1533-position model. The record is from RNAcentral.